Molecule: long non-coding RNA, 958 nt
Filed under: Chinchilla lanigera (long-tailed chinchilla)
Lineage: Eukaryota; Metazoa; Chordata; Mammalia; Rodentia; Chinchillidae
Description: lncRNA (ENSCLAG00000026607.1)
Source: RNAcentral
AAUUUUUUGAGACAGGGCCUCUCUAAGUCUUUCAGCGGCUCCCGCUGGACAUCCUGGUUUCUGCUGUUGUUUUGUUUUGGGAGGUUUUUUUGUUUGCUUGUUUUUUGUCUUUUUGAUACUGCUUUAACCUGAAGGUUUGGAUCUGCUCUUCCAGGACGGUCUCUGCCUAAGUAAUCCUGCGAUCAUUUCGGUUCCGCCUUUUCUGUCUUGUCCUUGUCUCAGGAACGCCUGUUGCUCGGGUGGUGAGUCUUCCUGUCUCCUUUUACACUGUCAGCUGAUGUUGCAAAGGCCCCUUGGCCCUGUGCGACCCGGAUGUCUGGUUAGGGUCCCGGCAAUUCCAGGAUGCAGAAAAGACCGAAGACCGCACAAUUUCACUGUCACGUUCUUCUGUUUCUCUUCAUAUCCUCACCGAGAGAAAACUCAGGCAAGAUCAGCCUUCGCCUCAGUGGCCUUGGUGGCAUCGAUCGCCUUCACCAGCGCAUAUGGGGUCACCCAGCCCCUGGGGACAAACGGCAGAGAAAGCAGAGUUGUCCACUUUCCUGCUCGCCUCCCUGAGCCGGGCCCUGGUCUUCUCCCACGCUUGGCGGCCCUGGUGCUCAGACCUUCCAAGGUGGGCUGGAUUCACACUGCUCGCUUUCCUGGGGCUCUGGCCAUGGGCGUUCUCGGCCUCCUAACACCGCCCUCUCCCUCUGUCUCCCCCGCUCCCUCCCUCUCCCUCUUUCUCUCUGUCUCUCUCUCUCUCUCUCACACACACACACACACACACACACACACACACACACGCACGCACACUGUACCCUCUCUGCCUGUUGGCUACACAUCCAUGGAUUCAACAAACCAUCCAAAGAUUGAUUUUUCUUUUUUGGUUUUUUGGUUCCUGGAAUCGAACCCAGGACCUUGCACUUGCCAGGCAGGCGCUUCUAAGGGUCGAAUAGUAGAAAAUAUGACAUCACUGUGA